RNAcentral lists this ribosomal RNA (468 nucleotides) under uncultured bacterium. Its description in RNAcentral is "partial 16S ribosomal RNA". It matches the Rfam family "Bacterial small subunit ribosomal RNA", at positions 28 to 507 of the family's 1533-position model. The record is from RNAcentral.
GACGAACGCUGGCGGCGUGCUUAACACAUGCAAGUCGAACGGAAAGGCCCUGCUUUUGUGGGGUGCUCGAGUGGCGAACGGGUGAGUAACACGUGAGUAACCUGCCCUUGACUUUGGGAUAACUUCAGGAAACUGGGGCUAAUACCGGAUAGGAGCUCCUGCUGCAUGGUGGGGGUUGGAAAGUUUCGGCGGUUGGGGAUGGACUCGCGGCUUAUCAGCUUGUUGGUGGGGUAGUGGCUUACCAAGGCUUUGACGGGUAGCCGGCCUGAGAGGGUGACCGGCGACAGUGGGACAGCAAGACGACCGAGAGGCCGGCGGGAGGAAGCAGGGGGGAAGAGGGCACAAUGGGCGGAAGCCGGAGGCAGCAACGCCGCGUGCGGGAGGACGGCCGUCGGGGGGGAAACCGCUGGCGCCGGUGACGAAGCGGGAGGGACGGUAAUGGGUAAAGAAGCACGGGCUAGCAACGUG